UAGCAUAAUGAUGUUUUACCAUCUUUCGGGGCAUAUCAUUGCUGAUGAUAAUUAUUUAAUGCUGAAUGCUA
This 71-nucleotide small nucleolar RNA is filed under the name Lottia gigantea (owl limpet). RNAcentral's name for it is "Small nucleolar RNA SNORD2". It matches the Rfam family "Small nucleolar RNA SNORD2". The record is from Rfam by way of RNAcentral. Lineage: Eukaryota; Metazoa; Mollusca; Gastropoda; Lottiidae.